This is a non-coding RNA of Nippostrongylus brasiliensis, 72 nucleotides long. NCBI's taxonomy places the organism in Eukaryota, Metazoa, Nematoda, Chromadorea, Rhabditida, Heligmosomidae. The record is from Rfam.
AUAUGGGUAGCACAGUGGUUAAUGCAGUAUGCCGGAAACAGAAAGACGCGGGCUCAAUUUCCGUCCCAUGUG